This 253-nucleotide ribosomal RNA is filed under the name uncultured bacterium. Its description in RNAcentral is "partial 16S ribosomal RNA". It matches the Rfam family "Bacterial small subunit ribosomal RNA", at positions 524 to 776 of the family's 1533-position model. The record is from RNAcentral.
UACGUAGGGUCCGAGCGUUGUCCGGAAUUAUUGGGCGUAAAGGGCUCGUAGGCGGUCCGUCACGUCGGGAGUGAAAACUCAGGGCUCAACCCUGAGCGUGCUUCCGAUACGGGCGGACUAGAGGUAUGCAGGGGAGAACGGAAUUCCUGGUGUAGCGGUGGAAUGCGCAGAUAUCAGGAGGAACACCGGUGGCGAAGGCGGUUCUCUGGGCAUUACCUGACGCUGAGGAGCGAAAGCAUGGGGAGCGAACGGG